AGGAUAAUAGUUAAAUUUAACAUUUAAUUUGCAUUUAAAAAAUAUCGGCCCUCCCCCUAUUUAUCUUA
RNAcentral lists this transfer RNA (68 nucleotides) under Lanka ramakrishnai. Its description in RNAcentral is "tRNA-Ala". Lineage: Eukaryota; Metazoa; Arthropoda; Insecta; Coleoptera; Chrysomelidae. The record is from RNAcentral.